RNAcentral lists this ribosomal RNA (1384 nucleotides) under metagenome. RNAcentral's name for it is "bacterial SSU rRNA". It matches the Rfam family "Bacterial small subunit ribosomal RNA". The record is from RNAcentral.
AGAGUUUGAUCCUGGCUCAGGAUGAACGCUGGCGGCGUGCUUAACACAUGCAAGUCGAACGAACCUUCGGGUUAGUGGCGGACGGGUGAGUAACGCGUGGGAAUCUGCCCUCAGGAGGGGGAUAACGGCUGGAAACGGCCGCUAAUACCCCAUAUGCCGAGAUGUGAAAAGAAAUUCGCCUGAGGAUGAGCCCGCGUCUGAUUAGCUAGUUGGUGGGGUAAGAGCUCACCAAGGCGACGAUCAGUAGCUGGUCUGAGAGGAUGAUCAGCCACACUGGGACUGAGACACGGCCCAGACUCCUACGGGAGGCAGCAGUGGGGAAUUUUCCGCAAUGGGCGAAAGCCUGACGGAGCAACGCCGCGUGAGGGAUGAAGGCCUCUGGGCUGUAAACCUCUUUUCUCAAGGAAGAAGACAUGACGGUACUUGAGGAAUAAGCCACGGCUAAUUCCGUGCCAGCAGCCGCGGUAAUACGGGAGUGGCAAGCGUUAUCCGGAAUUAUUGGGCGUAAAGCGUCCGCAGGCGGCCCUGUAAGUCUGUCGUUAAAGCGUGGAGCUUAACUCCAUUUAAGCGAUGGAAACUACAGGGCUUGAGUGUGGUAGGGGCAGAGGGAAUUCCCGGUGUAGCGGUGAAAUGCGUAGAUAUCGGGAAGAACACCAGUGGCGAAGGCGCUCUGCUGGGCCAUAACUGACGCUCAUGGACGAAAGCCAGGGGAGCGAAAGGGAUUAGAUACCCCUGUAGUCCUGGCCGUAAACGAUGAACACUAGGUGUCGGGGGAAUCGACCCCCUCGGUGUCGUAGCCAACGCGUUAAGUGUUCCGCCUGGGAGUACGCACGCAAGUGUGAAACUCAAAGGAAUUGACGGGGGCCCGCACAAGCGGUGGAGUAUGUGGUUUAAUUCGAUGCAACGCGAAGAACCUUACCAGGGUUUGACAUCCUGCGAAUCCCUUGGAAACGAGGGAGUGCCUUCGGGAGCGCAGAGACAGGUGGUGCAUGGCUGUCGUCAGCUCGUGUCGUGAGAUGUUGGGUUAAGUCCCGCAACGAGCGCAACCCACGUCUUUAGUUGCCAGCAUUCAGUUGGGCACUCUAGAGAGACCGCCGGUGAUAAACCGGAGGAAGGUGUGGAUGACGUCAAGUCAUCAUGCCCCUUACAUCCUGGGCUACACACGUACUACAAUGCUACGGACAAAGGGCAGCAAGCUCGCGAGAGUUAGCAAAUCCCAUAAACCGUGGCUCAGUUCAGAUCGUAGGCUGCAACUCGCCUACGUGAAGGAGGAAUCGCUAGUGAUCGCAGGUCAGCAUACUGCGGUGAAUACGUUCCCGGGCCUUGUACACACCGCCCGUCACACCAUGGAAGUUGGCCAUGCCCGAAGUCGUUACUCCAACCC